AGGAAUACCUGGCUAGUGAGAUUUCAUGAUCAUGCAGGUGGUUUUCCCAAGGUGAGGGUUAGCCAGUGCACUGCGGGUGUGCUGACCCUGUGAUUUCCCCAGAUGGGGAUACUCAGAUACUCAGCUGCAAUUUAUGGUAGUGGGGGGGCUGCAUUCAUGCUAUCCCCUA
Molecule: small nuclear RNA, 169 nt
Organism: Molossus molossus (Pallas's mastiff bat)
Lineage: Eukaryota; Metazoa; Chordata; Mammalia; Chiroptera; Molossidae
Product: U1 spliceosomal RNA
Exons: 1
Source: RefSeq, a predicted model, not a curated record